This 506-nucleotide ribosomal RNA is filed under the name Penicillium chrysogenum. RNAcentral describes it as "eukaryotic LSU rRNA". The stretch from base 141 to 293 matches the Rfam family "5.8S ribosomal RNA". The record is from RNAcentral. Lineage: Eukaryota; Fungi; Ascomycota; Eurotiomycetes; Eurotiales; Aspergillaceae.
GUGUUUAUUUACCUUGUUGCUUCGGCGGGCCCGCCUUAACUGGCCGCCGGGGGGCUUACGCCCCCGGGCCCGCGCCCGCCGAAGACACCCUCGAACUCUGUCUGAAGAUUGUAGUCUGAGUGAAAAUAUAAAUUAUUUAAAACUUUCAACAACGGAUCUCUUGGUUCCGGCAUCGAUGAAGAACGCAGCGAAAUGCGAUACGUAAUGUGAAUUGCAAAUUCAGUGAAUCAUCGAGUCUUUGAACGCACAUUGCGCCCCCUGGUAUUCCGGGGGGCAUGCCUGUCCGAGCGUCAUUGCUGCCCUCAAGCACGGCUUGUGUGUUGGGCCCCGUCCUCCGAUUCCGGGGGACGGGCCCGAAAGGCAGCGGCGGCACCGCGUCCGGUCCUCGAGCGUAUGGGGCUUUGUCACCCGCUCUGUAGGCCCGGCCGGCGCUUGCCGAUCAACCCAAAUUUUUAUCCAGGUUGACCUCGGAUCAGGUAGGGAUACCCGCUGAACUUAAGCAUAUC